UACGAAGGGGGGCUAGCGUUGUUCGGAAUUACUGGGCGUAAAGGGCGCGUAGGCGGUGUGUCAAGUCAGGCGUGAAAGCCCCGGGCUCAACCUGGGAACAGCGCUUGAGACUGGCACGCUCGAGUUCGGGAGAGGAUGGUGGAAUCCCAGUGUAGAGGUGAAUUCGUAGAUAUUGGGAAGAACACCGAUGGCGAAGGCAGCCAUCUGGACCGACACUGACGCUGAGGCGCGAAAGCGUGGGGAGCAAACAGG
This 252-nucleotide ribosomal RNA is filed under the name uncultured bacterium. RNAcentral's name for it is "partial 16S ribosomal RNA". It matches the Rfam family "Bacterial small subunit ribosomal RNA", at positions 524 to 776 of the family's 1533-position model. The record is from RNAcentral.